This is a non-coding RNA of Myodes glareolus (Bank vole), 2369 nucleotides long. The record is from RefSeq and is a predicted model, not a curated record. Lineage: Eukaryota; Metazoa; Chordata; Mammalia; Rodentia; Cricetidae.
UCACAGCUGGGAAAAAACCCCAGAAAUCAGCAGAAACAUAUCACUCCUGCCUCCUGGUUAGUCAUUCUCCCAGCCAAGGCAGAUAAGAAGUGUGGCGCUGGCCCAGGAGCAAUACAUUAAGAAAAGCCAGAGGCUGAGGAGCAGGGGGUGUCACAGGUAUCUGAUGUUCCUGACCACAGCCAGUUCCUGACCACAAGCAUGACUGACAUCCAGACAUCAUGCUGACAUCCAGACGUGGGGCUACGGGCCUGACACUCCUGCCACCUCGUCGCCACAUUCUCGGAUUUGGAAGACAGAGAUGUUUCAGCUUUGGUUGUCCAAAAGUUGUGCUUGGAGUCUUGUGCCACAUCCAGCCAUGUUCUGAGGCUGCUCUUGCAUGAAGAAGCCACACGGACAGGUUACCUGUAGGUUGUCUGACCAGCGGUCCUGAGCAUCAAGACUUACCAGACUGUGUACCGGAUGUGAGUGACUGCAGUCUCCAGCCACAAAGUGUCCUCGGUCCCCUAGGCCACCCCCAGCUUCCCUAGGUGAGACCUCGGACACCGUGCAUACAGGCAGGCUGUUCACACUGUGUUCCUUCCAAACCCCAUACUGCAGAAUCCCUGGGUAUAAAUUUGAGGUAUUAUGUUAAACAGUAACCGGGAGAGCUGUGUGGCCACUACACACUGACAUCUGUGGAACUUGGAACUAUUUUAAGCAAAGCCCAGGGAAACUAACAUAAAAUAUUUAUGGUGUAGCAAACAGAACAAGAAAGAGAUGGGACUAUUCAGACACAGACAGGGAAUACUGGUUGGGAUCAAGGUAGGGCAGCGAUGGUUUGAAUUGAGCCUAGGGCAGAGGCUAGGUGUAACUAGAAUUGAGCCUAGGGCAGAGGCUAGAUGUAACUAGAAAAUGCCUUUCAAGCGAGAAUGUCCAGCUCAGGGCUGAGAGCUGACGAGAUCUGUUUGGACAGCAGAUGCUUUUGGCUGACCCAAAAGACACUGACUUCAUUCCUCUCCCUGUGAUUAGAAAACAAAAACAACAAAAAAUUCUAUGUUUGAAAAAUCCAACGUCUGACCCAGAAAAGAACAAAGAAAAGGAAGACAGUCUAGUAAGAGCAGAGGCCUUCCAUAUGGUGGAGCAGAAAGGAGGCCAAGUGUGGAGCUUUAAUUAAACCAUCGGGCCACUAGCACGCAGCCCAGCCUUUGGGAGAGCCGAGCCCUGGAGGCCUGUCUCCAGCCUCAGGCUGACAGGCAGUACUGAGAAGCAAUGGGAAGACAGCCUGGAGAAGCACAGAACACGAGUGGUUACCAAGCUCUGAAGAUCCCAGGCAAUGUCUGCUCUUGAGGUGAUGAUAAGCCUAGCACUAAAAUGAACUUUAGGGAGCCACUCCCUGAGGAAACGGAAACACAGGACCCACAGGUUCUAAGGAGGCUGUUGAGGUGAACAGAGCGGCCUCCCUCCUUCCCUUCUUCCGCCUUCUCUUUUGUUUCUCUCCCUCCUUUUCUUCCCCACUCUCACCUUCUUCCUUCCUAACUUGCUUUGUCCUCCCCUUCUUCCUCUUCCCUCCCCUUCUUCCCCAUUUCUCCCUUCUUUCCCUCUUCUCUCAUUGUAUGGAAAAGUUCCACAAAGCCUGAACCCCAGGACACCAUUGCUAAACUCUGCAAUUACACAGAGGAUAUGCAUCACUCCCUGGGAAGGGUCCGGGUGACACAGAGGAACACCUCUAUACAAUACCCUGUGCUAACGGAGCGGCUAGAGCUGAGUACUCGGCAGGCCUGGACCUUGACCAGUUCUGGUGCCCUCGGACCAUGAGAAAAUAAGCUAUCUAGAGGGGGCAAAAAAUACAGUAACACAAUAAACAUCAGAAUUAGGUCUACAAUUUGGAGAGAAUGGCAAAGCCAGAGAGAAACACUUUUCUCACACUGCUGAAGUAUAUGUGUGUGUGUGUGUCCCCACGCACACAUGCCUGUGUGUGAUGUGCACAUGCGCAGGGGUGUGGCUCACAAUGCCUGUGUAUAAGAAUGGAGGCCAGAGGAAGAUGUCAUCUUCCUGACCGGUCACACUCAGCCUCACUCCCUUGGGAUACGGUUUCUCUGACUCUGGGGCCAGGCUAGGCUAUCAGCCAACAGCCCCAGAGAUCCCAGUGGUCCUCCUGUGUCUGUCCACUGGGCUAGAGGUGCUGAAGCGGCCUUGCCUUUCCAUGUAGUGGUUGGGGAUUCCAUAGUCUUGCUUGAGCAUUCUCGUUUUCUUACUAGGUGAAUCUUCUCCCCAGGUCUCACAUUGCCAGGUUCUAAAUUGAUCCUUGUCAGCAAUCAUGAACAUCUGCCUUGCAGGAAAUGCUGAACUGUGAUGAACUAAAUUCACCUAUAAUAAAUGGUCUCCCUUUA